RNAcentral lists this ribosomal RNA (488 nucleotides) under uncultured bacterium. Its description in RNAcentral is "partial 16S ribosomal RNA". It matches the Rfam family "Bacterial small subunit ribosomal RNA", at positions 28 to 507 of the family's 1533-position model. The record is from RNAcentral.
GACGAACGCUGGCGGCGUGCUUAACACAUGCAAGUCGAACGGAAAGGCCCUGCUUUUGUGGGGUGCUCGAGUGGCGAACGGGUGAGUAACACGUGAGUAACCUGCCCUUGACUUUGGGAUAACUUCAGGAAACUGGGGCUAAUACCGGAUAGGAGCUCCUGCUGCAUGGUGGGGGUUGGAAAGUUUCGGCGGUUGGGGCUGGACUCGCGGCGUAUGAGCUUGUUGGUCAGGUAGUUGCUUACCAAGGCUUGGACGGGUAGCCGGCCUGAGAGGGUGAUCGGCCACACUGGAAGUGAGACAGGGUCCAGAGGCCUACGGGAGGCAGCAGUAGGGAAGCGUGCGCAAUGGGCGGAAGCCUGACGGAGCAGCGCGGAGUGAGUGAUGAAGGUCGUCGGAUCGGAAAACUCGGUUAUUAGGGAAGAACAAAUGUGUAAGUAACUGUGAACGUCUUGACGGUACCUAAUCAGAAAGCCACGGCUAACUACGUG